This 501-nucleotide ribosomal RNA is filed under the name uncultured bacterium. RNAcentral's name for it is "partial 16S ribosomal RNA". It matches the Rfam family "Bacterial small subunit ribosomal RNA", at positions 30 to 523 of the family's 1533-position model. The record is from RNAcentral.
AUUGAACGCUGGCGGCAGGCUUAACACAUGCAAGUCGAGCGGGGGAAGGUAGCUUGCUACCGGACCUAGCGGCGGACGGGUGAGUAAUGCUUAGGAAUCUGCCUAUUAGUGGGGGACAACAUCUCGAAAGGGAUGCUAAUACCGCAUACGUCCUACGGGAGAAAGCAGGGGAUCCUCGGACCUUGCGCUAAUAGAUGAGCCUAAGUCGGAUUAGCUAGUUGGUGGGGUAAAGGCCUACCAAGGCGACGAUCUGUAGCGGGUCUGAGAGGAUGAUCCGCCACACUGGGACUGAGACACGGCCCAGACUCCUACGGGAGGCAGCAGUGGGGAAUAUUGGACAAUGGGGGGAACCCUGAUCCAGCCAUGCCGCGUGUGUGAAGAAGGCCCUAUGGUUGUAAAGCACUUUAAGCGAGGAGGAGGCUACUUUAGUUAAUACCUAGAGAUAGUGGACGUUACUCGCAGAAUAAGCACCGGCUAACUCUGUGCCAGCAGCCGCCGUAA